RNAcentral lists this transfer RNA (70 nucleotides) under Marmota monax (woodchuck). Its description in RNAcentral is "tRNA.Val". Lineage: Eukaryota; Metazoa; Chordata; Mammalia; Rodentia; Sciuridae. The record is from RNAcentral.
GGGCUGGGGCUCAGUGGAAGAGCGCUCUUUCCACAUGUGUGAGGCCCUGGGUUCGAUCCUCAGCACCACA